Molecule: long non-coding RNA, 207 nt
Filed under: Microtus ochrogaster (prairie vole)
Lineage: Eukaryota; Metazoa; Chordata; Mammalia; Rodentia; Cricetidae
Description: FTX transcript, XIST regulator conserved region 5 (ENSMOCG00000011591.1)
Rfam family: FTX transcript, XIST regulator conserved region 5
Source: RNAcentral
UGCUGAAGCGAGUGUCGUAGUAGCAAAAAUUCUUACUUCUGCAGUGCGGAGAGCGUGGAGAGAGCGGCGGGACAGAGAGACGUGCCUAGGUGACAGCAACCUUGAAUUAACGGCGGUGAGCGCCAGGUAAGAAACCUGCUGUACUCGCAGCCUCUGCGGGGAUGCCACAAAUUCACAGCCUCUCCGGGAGCGCAGCAGAGAGCUCCG